GACGAACGCUGGCGGCGUGCCUAAUACAUGCAAGUCGAACGCUGAAGGAGGAGCUUGCUUCUCUGGAUGAGUUGCGAACGGGUGAGUAACGCGUAGGUAACCUGCCUGGUAGCGGGGGAUAACUAUUGGAAACGAUAGCUAAUACCGCAUAAGAGUAGAUGUUGCAUGACAUUUGCUUAAAAGGUGCAAUUGCAUCACUACCAGAUGGACCUGCGUUAUAUUAGCUAGUUGGUGAGGUAACGGCUCACCAAGGCGACGAUACAUAGCCGACCUGAGAGGGUGAUCGGCCACACUGGGACUGAGACACGGCCCAGACUCCUACGGGAGGCAGCAGUAGGGAAUCUUCGGCAAUGGACGGAAGUCUGACCGAGCAACGCCGCGUGAGUGAAGAAGGUUUUCGGAUCGUAAAGCUCUGUUGUAAGAGAAGAACGAGUGUGAGAGUGGAAAGUUCACACUGUGACGGUAUCUUACCAGAAAGGGACGGCUAACUACGUG
RNAcentral lists this ribosomal RNA (495 nucleotides) under uncultured bacterium. Its description in RNAcentral is "partial 16S ribosomal RNA". It matches the Rfam family "Bacterial small subunit ribosomal RNA", at positions 28 to 507 of the family's 1533-position model. The record is from RNAcentral.